CAAUAGCGUAUAUUUAAGUUGCUGCAGUUAAAAAGCUCGUAGUUGGAUUUCGGGUGGGAAUGGCCGGUCCGCCGUUUCGGUGUGCACUUGCUACGCCCACCUUGCUGCCGGGGACGUGCUCUUGAGUUCACGCUCGGGACACGGAGUCGGCGAGGUUACUUUGAGUAAAUUAGAGUGUUCAAAGCAGGCCUACGCUCUGAAUACAUUAGCAUGGAAUAACACGAUAGGACUCUGGCCUAUCUUGUUGGUCUGUAGGACCGGAGUAAUGAUUAAGAGGGACAGUCGGGGGCAUUCGUAUUUCAUUGUCAGAGGUGAAAUUCUUGGAUUUAUGAAAGACGAACUAUUGCGAAAGCAUUUGCCAAGGAUGUUUUCAUUAA
Molecule: ribosomal RNA, 377 nt
Filed under: uncultured eukaryote
Lineage: Eukaryota
Description: partial 18S ribosomal RNA
Rfam family: Eukaryotic small subunit ribosomal RNA
Source: RNAcentral